AUCCAACUGACGAGUCCCAAAUAGGACGAAACGUGCGUCCUUGAU
RNAcentral lists this non-coding RNA (45 nucleotides) under Schistosoma mansoni. Lineage: Eukaryota; Metazoa; Platyhelminthes; Trematoda; Strigeidida; Schistosomatidae. The record is from RNAcentral.